Trachemys scripta elegans is the source of this 666-nucleotide long non-coding RNA. RefSeq lists it as uncharacterized. The record is from RefSeq and is a predicted model, not a curated record. The transcript has 5 exons. Lineage: Eukaryota; Metazoa; Chordata; Testudines; Emydidae.
GCUAUUCCGGGGCACAGGAAGCGGCGGGGGGAGAUCGGUGAGAUCAGAUCCUGCGCAGCUGCCGGGCGUGGGGAGCCGAGCCCGGGCUCUGCCCCGCUGGGGAGUGUGGCCAGCCCAGCCCGGCCGGACUCUCUCCCUGGCCGGGGGUAGCCCCGGGGAAGUCCCGGGCUCUGGAGACAUCAACGCCUGAGUGGAGACUGCAGGUGACGACUUACUCCAUGUGGUACUAGCCCUCCGUCGACAUCAACUCCUGAGCCUAGGGCUGCCCUGGGGAUUAGCACCAGACGGAGAAGGUCCUCACCUGGGCUGGGCCCAGAGGGACUCUAGCAAUUGCAGGAGCUGAUCCAGCCAUGGGAGAGUGAAUUCCCCGAGCCAGAGGGGAAAGGAGAUAUAAAGGGCUAGAGGAGAGAGAGACUGAAGGGGGCAGCGGAAGAAACAGGUGGGAAUGGAGGUCCCCAGAUCUCUAGCCUAUGGAGACACUUAUUGCAGCAUCGCUGGGCAGAUUCGCUUUCCUGUUAACAAGGCUGCAGAAUAACGCCUGUGUUUCGCUCCAGCUCAUCCCACUUGCCCAUGGGACAGGGAAGGGAAAUGGUUUCAGUGGAGCCAGUUCAGGGGCCGGUGACCUUCGCGGAGGUGGCUGUGUAUUUCACCAAGGAUGAGUGGGCU